GGGUUCGAUAAUUGGGGUGAAGUCGUAACAAGGUAGCCGUAUCGGAAGGUGCGGCUGGAUCACCUCCUUU
Molecule: ribosomal RNA, 70 nt
Filed under: Intestinimonas massiliensis (ex Afouda et al. 2020)
Lineage: Bacteria; Bacillati; Bacillota; Clostridia; Eubacteriales
Description: partial 16S ribosomal RNA
Rfam family: Bacterial small subunit ribosomal RNA
Source: RNAcentral